UAGAAGUCAGGUCGGAUUAAGCCAUAGUACGGAAAAAACUAUGCUACCUGUGAGCCCCGUCCAAGGACGUUAAAAGAAGUCAGGCCAUUAUAAAUGCCAUAGCUUGAGUAAACUAUGCUGCCUGUAGCUCCACCUGAGAAGGUGUAAAAAAUCUGGGAGGCCACAAACCAUGGAAGCUGUACGCAUGG
RNAcentral lists this long non-coding RNA (188 nucleotides) under dengue virus type 2. Its description in RNAcentral is "Dengue virus 2 partial sfRNA1". Lineage: Riboviria; Orthornavirae; Kitrinoviricota; Flasuviricetes; Amarillovirales; Flaviviridae. The record is from RNAcentral.